GAUGAAGAACGUAGCGAAAUGCGAUAAGUAGUGUGAAUUGCAUAAUUCAGUGAAUCAUCGAAUCUUUGAACGCACAUUGCGCCCCUUGGUAUCCCGAGGGGCAUGCCUGUUCGAGCGUCAUUUCACCACUCAAGCCUGGCUUGGUGUUGGGCGACGUCCCCUUUGGGGACGCGCCUCGAAACGCUCGGCGGCGUGGCACCGGCUUUAAGCGUAGCAGAAUCUUUCGCUUUGGAAGUCGGGGCCCCGUCUGCCGGAAGACCUACUCGCAAGGUUGACCUCGGAUCAGGCAGGGAUACCCGCUGAACUUAAGCAUAUCAAUAAGCGGAGGA
Molecule: unclassified non-coding RNA, 329 nt
Filed under: soil metagenome
Description: partial contains 5.8S ribosomal RNA, internal transcribed spacer 2, and large subunit ribosomal RNA
Rfam family: 5.8S ribosomal RNA (bases 1-120)
Source: RNAcentral